Molecule: long non-coding RNA, 758 nt
Organism: Ornithorhynchus anatinus (platypus)
Lineage: Eukaryota; Metazoa; Chordata; Mammalia; Monotremata; Ornithorhynchidae
Exons: 2
Source: RefSeq, a predicted model, not a curated record
CCUCCGUCAAGUUGAGUCUCCACCCUCGACUCUCUCCUAGGCCGCUGCUGCCUAUCAUAGGUGAGUCGGAGGCAGACAUUAAUAUAAACAACCCCCCGAGGGGUCCCGGUUGCACUCCUGUCACCCACCCCCUAAGGUUUCGGUAGGGGGGAUGUCACAGCCAAAUGGGCCACAUUGGAGCCGUGUCGUGGGGGGACAGGUGACCGCUAGGCUUGGACCGCCAGCUUCCCCCUCCCGGCUCCCUACUCUUCCCACCCUGGCACUUGGAUCUGCACCCUUUAUUCACCCCGUCCUCAGCCCCCCAGCACGUGCGUACAGAUCUGUCGUUUAUUUUCAAAGUCUGUCUCCCCCUGUAGACUAAGCUCCUCGAAGGCAGCGGACGUGUCUCCCAGCCGUCACGUCGUCCCCUCCCGGGCGCUCAGCGCAGCCCUCCGCACGCAUAUUCUGAAGUUGGCUGUCAUCGGAGAAAAAAAUGGAGCUAAACAGCGGAGACGUUAAGUGAUUGCAACACAGCACCCCAGGAGCCUGAACAAGAAAGAACAAACACUGAGUUGGAUCCUGUUGGAAAAAGCCAGGAACCUUUUUACAUCAGUAGCCCUGGACCUUAAAGCUCAUCCUCCAGAUUGUAAGCUCACUGUGGGCAGGCUCUGUGUCUAAAAUAGUGUUGUGUUUUACUGCCCCGAACAGUACAGUGCUCUGCACACAGUAAGCGCUCAAGAAAUACCACUGAUGAUAAGCGAAUAAAUGUUAUAGGGAGA